This 1228-nucleotide long non-coding RNA is filed under the name Rattus norvegicus (Norway rat). RNAcentral describes it as "long non-coding RNA NONRATT012083". Lineage: Eukaryota; Metazoa; Chordata; Mammalia; Rodentia; Muridae. The record is from RNAcentral.
AACGAGACCUCUGGGUCCCUUGCAAUCGGAACACUGAGGGCCUUAUAACCUCAAAGCCUACCUCAGCAUGAAUCAGAGGGAUCAGCUUCCAUGAAACACACAGCCCUAACCUGUGAAAGCUGGCCCUGAAAUGUGCUGUGAGAGAAUGGGGAACUCUCCUGUGGAGCUCCCGUAACAGACUGGCUGCAGGAACUUGUUAAAACGGCAGCAUACCUCAGCGUGAUAAGCUUGCGUAGCCUGGCAGGCACUGCCCCGUAAAGCGAAGGGAAGGAGCAGGAUAUAGCCCGUGUGUGUUUCACUAGGGAGCUGUUCACAUAGGGAGUGAAGGCCCCUGUCUGUCCCCGCCCCUUCCUAAGGGCCUAAGCCAUGGUUCAUGUUCAUCUCCCAUUCUGGGUAAAUGAACACAGAGCAGAGGAGUGGCACAGACGCAUCUAGAUUAAAAGGGUCACCUCUGUCCUCGGGCACUGGAGAGGCAUGAUAGUCAACAUGAGCCUCUAUCCAUUCCGGGGUGCAGAAUGGGAUGUGGGAGGCUGAGGCAGCACUGCGCAUGGCCAAGCCAAUGGUUGCCGAUGCCUGCCAGCAGCAGUGCUCCCCAGUUCAAGCUCCACUGUCAUUCCCAUGAACGGCAGCAGAGAAAGGCUUCUUCUCGCCUCCAAGGGACAGGAGGACAUUGCCCCUCCUCCUGAGGCCAUUGCUGGAGACUUGUUCCUCUCAGACUUUGCCCUGACAGUUUGACCAGCCCUCCUUCUCUCUCUCUCUCUUUUUCCAGAUCAUUCGAAAAGUCGUCCGACAGGUGGACUCCUCUGGUGCCAUCGACACCCAGCAGCACGAGGAGGUGGAGCUAAGAGGGAGUGGACUCCAGCCGGACCUGAUAGAAGGCAGGAAGGGGGCUCAAAUAGUGAAGCGGGCCAGCUUGAAAAGGGGCAAACAGUGACCUCUCCUCAAGUAGCCCCUUGGGAGGAUCACACCUCAACACCCAAACCCUGAACUCCACACACUCUUGUCAUGCACACGGGAGGAGACCUGGACCAGAGGGCUACUGAAGGGUCGCACGCGUUCUGAGCUCCCCGGCAUGACCUCUGUAAGGAGUUUCCUUUAGUCUCCUAUUCGCAUGAAUGACUGGCUGUAGACGCAUGACCUACAGUCUUCAGUCCUGCCUCUAGCGACUAUGGAUCUCUGUGGGAAUCAGGACAAAGGCGGCGAGAGAAGGGAGCGGAUAAGGAGCCCC